UUGUCUGGGAGUGGAAGGAGCUGUGAGGAUUUCUGGAGGAGCAGGAGCAGCGGCUGCUGUCCCAGCUGAAGGAGCUAGAGAGAGCCAUUGUCCAGAGGAGGGAUGAGGGCGUCUGCAGCCUGUCCUCGGAGAUUUCCCUGCUCAGCGAGAGAGGAGGAGAGAAGGGGCAGCAGCCGCUGAGCGAACCCCUGCAGGGUGCUGGGAGCACUGGGGGCAGGGAGGACGGGACGUUUCGGAAGCCAGAGCCAUCGUUUGUGGAGCUGGAGAAGAGACUCGGUGAUUUCUCUCUGAAAAGUGCCAUGCUGCAGGAGGUGCUGCUGGGAUUCAAAGAGACGCUGCAAUGGGGGCUGGGGAGCGACACAGGUAAGUGUCUGUCUCUGACUGGCCAUGGGGAGAUUUAAGACCAAUAACCAUAUUAACGACAGGGAAUCACAGCCUCCAGCACCUGGAAGCUGUGU
Gopherus flavomarginatus (Mexican gopher tortoise) is the source of this 458-nucleotide long non-coding RNA. RefSeq lists it as uncharacterized. The transcript has 4 exons. NCBI's taxonomy places the organism in Eukaryota, Metazoa, Chordata, Testudines, Testudinidae. The record is from RefSeq and is a predicted model, not a curated record.